RNAcentral lists this ribosomal RNA (440 nucleotides) under uncultured bacterium. Its description in RNAcentral is "partial 16S ribosomal RNA". It matches the Rfam family "Bacterial small subunit ribosomal RNA", at positions 338 to 795 of the family's 1533-position model. The record is from RNAcentral.
CCUACGGGUGGCAGCAGUGGGGAAUAUUGCACAAUGGGGGAAACCCUGAUGCAGCGACGCCGCGUGAAGGAAGAAGUAUUUCGGUAUGUAAACUUCUAUCAGCAGGGAAGAAAAUGACGUUACCUGACUACGCCGCCCCGGCUAACUACGUUCCAGCAGCCGCGGUACUACGUAGGUGGCAAGCGUUAUCCGGAUUUACUGGGUGUAACGGGAGCGUAGGCGGCGAUGUAAGUCAGAAGUGAAAGACCGGGGCUCAACUCCGGGACUGCUGUUGAAACUGUAUGGCUAGAGUGCAGGAGAGGCAAGUGGAAUUCCUAGUGUAGCGGUGAAAUGCGUAGAUAUUAGGAGGAACACCAGUGGCGAAGGCGGCUUGCUGGACUGUAAAUGACGCUGAGGCGCGAAAGCGUGGGGAGCAAACAGGAUUAGAUACCCCUGUAGUC